This 137-nucleotide ribosomal RNA is filed under the name uncultured eukaryote. RNAcentral's name for it is "partial 18S ribosomal RNA". It matches the Rfam family "Eukaryotic small subunit ribosomal RNA", at positions 1299 to 1458 of the family's 1831-position model. The record is from RNAcentral.
UGGUGGGGUGACUUGUCUGCUUAAUUGCGAUAACGAACGAGACCUUAACCUGCUAAAUAGCCCGCAUUGCUCAGGCAGUGCGCUGGCUUCUUAGAGGGACUUUCGGCUCAAGCCGAAGGAAGUUUGAGGCAAUAACA